AGUCUUAUAGUCUAUAUUAGGAUAUUAAAUUGCAAAUUUAAUGGAAAAUUUAAUUUUAAGGCUU
Molecule: transfer RNA, 64 nt
Filed under: Eurysternus sp. KM-2017
Lineage: Eukaryota; Metazoa; Arthropoda; Insecta; Coleoptera; Scarabaeidae
Description: tRNA-Cys
Source: RNAcentral